Molecule: ribosomal RNA, 833 nt
Filed under: uncultured bacterium
Lineage: Bacteria
Description: bacterial SSU rRNA
Rfam family: Bacterial small subunit ribosomal RNA
Source: RNAcentral
AGUUUGAUCCUGGCUCAGGAUGAACGUUGGCGGCGUGCCUAACACAUGCAAGUCGAACGAGCAGCCGGAUUCUUCGGAAACCGGUGGGCGAGUGGCGAACGGGUGAGUAACACGUAGGUGACCUGCCCUGAAGCGGGGGAUAACCACUAGAAAUGGUGGCUAAUACCGCAUGUGCUUAAUCAUUCAAUUGGUUAAGUAAAACUCAGGUGCUUCAGGAGGGGCCUGCGGUCGAUUAGUUAGUUGGUGAGGUAAUGGCUCACCAAGACGAUAAUCGAUAGGGGGCGUGAGAGCGUGACCCCCCACACUGGGACUGAGACACGGCCCAGACUCCCACGGGAGGCAGCAGUGAGGAAUAUUGCACAAUGGGCGAAAGCCUGAUGCAGCAACGCCGCGUGGGGGAUGAAGGCCUUCGGGUCGUAAACCCCCUUUCUGUGGGAAGAGAAAGGACGGUACCACAGGAAUAAAGUCUCGGCUAACUACGUGCCAGCAAGCCCGCGGUAAAACGUAGGGAGGGCGAACGCGUAUCCGGGAGAUUAUCUUGGGGCGCUAAAGCGCGCGCGGCAGGGCGGGCAUUGGCAAGGUCCCGACGUGAAAAGCCUCCCGGGCUUAACUGGGGAGAGGGCCGUUUGGAAACUACAAAGCCUUGGAGGUUGGGAGAGAGAAAGUGGAAUUCCCGGUGGUAGUGGUGGGGAUGCGUAGAUAUCGGGGAGGAACUUCCAGUGGGCGAAAGCCGACUUUUCUGGGCCUACACCCUGACGCUGAGCGCGAAAGCGUGGGGAAGCGAACCAGGAUUAGAUACCCUGGUAGUCCACGCUGUAAACGAUGUGAACUAG